UAUUCCCUCCUAUACACUGCCUCCUGAAUGCAGUAACAAAAUAUUUGUAGAGGCUCAGAAAAAGAUUCAAACUACUGUCUGGUGCAACUUCUUUAUAUCGCCUGCUACAUCCACCCUUCUUAAGUCCUGAUCUUUGCUGGAGCUGGUCCCCAAUACAAGUGGUGCCCGAACAGGAGACUUGAAGUAGGAAUGCAGAAUCGCCCAUUGGGAUCCCAGAUCGCCUCAUCAGGCCAUGUGGACCGGUCCCCGAGACGGUCAUGUCAUGUCCUGCACCCAUAUUGGAAAAACGAAACGACAAGAGAAUAUGAGCGAUUCUCCCACUCAGAAUCGACUUCCAUUCCGCCACCAUCAAAAAUGCCCGAUUCUACAGAUAUGGUUGAGAAUAUUUUGCCUGUUUUUGCUCAGCUUCGUCUUCACUCAAAGCGACGUGAGCAAGGCCGCUUUGCAAGAUCUACUCGUCAAGAGUUUUUGCCAACAUGGGGUCAGAUAAAACAGCUUAGUUGUUUGGCUGAACAAAUUCUUGAAGAAAAUAAAUUCCAAAAAAAUCCAGCUAAUCUUUUCCUGGCUAUGAUCUCUUUGCUUACUAUACGGUCAUCUAAUGACAACUAGCAAGAGGCAUCAGAACACUGUCAAUGGAAUUUCAAAUGGAUCGACU
This is a long non-coding RNA of Peromyscus leucopus (white-footed mouse), 655 nucleotides long. RefSeq lists it as uncharacterized. The transcript has 3 exons. Lineage: Eukaryota; Metazoa; Chordata; Mammalia; Rodentia; Cricetidae. The record is from RefSeq and is a predicted model, not a curated record.